This 301-nucleotide ribosomal RNA is filed under the name uncultured bacterium. RNAcentral's name for it is "partial 16S ribosomal RNA". It matches the Rfam family "Bacterial small subunit ribosomal RNA", at positions 509 to 807 of the family's 1533-position model. The record is from RNAcentral.
CAGUCGCCGCGGUAAUACGAAGGUCCCGAGCGUUGUUCGGAAUCACUGGGCGUAAAGGGAGCGUAGGCGGCGUGGUAAGUCAGAUGUGAAAUCCCGGGGCUCAACCCCGGAACUGCAUCCGAUACUGCCGUGCUAGAGGAUUGGAGAGGUAGCUGGAAUUCUUGGUGUAGCAGUGAAAUGCGUGGAGAUCAAGAGGAACACUCGUGGCGAAAGCGAGCUACUGGACAAUAUCUGACGCUGAGGCUCGAAGGCCAGGGUAGCGAAAGGGAUUAGAUACCCGAGUAGUCCCUGUCUCUUAUAC